This 315-nucleotide long non-coding RNA is filed under the name Physcomitrium patens. RNAcentral describes it as "long non-coding RNA (PPAT_LNC014787)". The record is from RNAcentral. Lineage: Eukaryota; Viridiplantae; Streptophyta; Bryopsida; Funariales; Funariaceae.
AAUCUGUGACCUUCAGAAUUGAGAUUAUUGAAUUGUGUUGUAUUAAGUGAAGAUAUUGAAUUCUGUGUGAUGAAUUGAGAAACUAAAUAUAAUAAAUAAGCUAGAGAUCAAUAAUUGAAUAUAUAUAAACCACAAAGAAAGUAAAUAGGAGAUGAACUGAUAAGAAUAUGGAAGUAUUGUUGAAUUGAUAGUCGUAGAAUAGAUUAUAAGUUGAAUUAAGAUAGAAGUAAUAAGCCUUGGUAUUUUAUAGUUUGAUAAUUGAUUUUAGAUAGCUAGAGUAUAGUCAAUUGUGACACUAAUAGAUCGAAUUCAUAU